AUGGUGACCUCCACGAAGAAGACGAAGAAGUCCGGGGACAACAUCAACAACAAGCUGCAGCUUGUCAUGAAGAGCGGCAAGUACACGCUCGGCUACAAGACCGUCCUCAGGACCCUCAGGAACUCCAAGGCAAAGCUUGUGAUCCUUGCUAACAACUGCCCUCCGCUCCGCAAGUCUGAGAUUGAGUACUAUGCUAUGUUGGCGAAGAUCACUGUCCACCACUACCAUGGAAACAAUGUUGAUUUGGGAACUGCGUGUGGUAAAUACUUCCGAGUCUGCUGCCUGAGUAUCAUCGACCCUGGCGAUUCCGACAUCAUCAACGCAACACCAGCUGGCCAGUAA
This 342-nucleotide ribosomal RNA is filed under the name Triticum aestivum (bread wheat). Its description in RNAcentral is "partial small subunit ribosomal RNA". Lineage: Eukaryota; Viridiplantae; Streptophyta; Magnoliopsida; Poales; Poaceae. The record is from RNAcentral.